RNAcentral lists this ribosomal RNA (253 nucleotides) under uncultured bacterium. Its description in RNAcentral is "partial 16S ribosomal RNA". It matches the Rfam family "Bacterial small subunit ribosomal RNA", at positions 524 to 776 of the family's 1533-position model. The record is from RNAcentral.
UACAGAGGUCUCAAGCGUUGUUCGGAUUCAUUGGGCGUAAAGGGUGCGUAGGUGGCAUGGUAAGUCGGAUGUGGAAUCCCGGGGCUCAACCCCGGAACUGCAUUCGAUACUGCUGCGCUAGAGUACUGGAGAGGAGAUUGGAAUUUACGGUGUAGCAGUGAAAUGCGUAGAUAUCGUAAGGAAGACCAGUGGCGAAGGCGGAUCUCUGGACAGUUACUGACACUGAGGCACGAAGGCCAGGGGAGCAAACGGG